GCUACUUUUCGUGGAGAUUAAGGCAACAAAGGAGCUCAACAGGUGUGGGUUGUUAUCAUUAGAAGGACAAGGGACCACACCUGUCAAACUCGAGGCUCUGAUGCAACCCAGGAGAAACUGAACUUCUCCAGGGAGAAAGUUCACGGAAUGGAAAAACGUUUGGAGAAGAGUGAACACUCUCCCCUUUGCCGGAAGAGAGUCUGAGAAGCGGUCUCAGACCUCAUCUGCAGGGAGGCAGCUCAGGAAGGUGCGCAGUGGCACGGCGAGUGCAGGCAGGGGAGGCAAGGUGAACGCGGGUGCCUACAAGGGACACUGUCUCUUCAUCUCCCAUGAUUCUACAUAAUCCUUUAAAUAAACACAACAUGUUUCCAUGGAAGAUAAAAACAAAAGCACGUAGGAAAGAGGAAAAAAAUAGGGAGAGAGAGGAAAGAAAGAAGGAAGGAAGUUCAAGCAAGAAAGGAAGAAAAACUUCCCUGAAGAUUCUACCUGCCAAGACAUGGAAGAAAUUGGUGUCUUUAAAUAGUGAUGAUAUUUG
This is a long non-coding RNA of Bos taurus (domestic cattle), 535 nucleotides long. Lineage: Eukaryota; Metazoa; Chordata; Mammalia; Artiodactyla; Bovidae. The record is from Ensembl.